AUUGAACGCUGGCGGCAUGCCUUACACAUGCAAGUCGAACGGCAGCACGGGUGCUUGCACCUGGUGGCGAGUGGCGAACGGGUGAGUAAUACAUCGGAACAUGUCCUGUAGUGGGGGAUAGCCCGGCGAAAGCCGGAUUAAUACCGCAUACGAUCCACGGAUGAAAGCGGGGGACCUUCGGGCCUCGCGCUAUAGGGUUGGCCGAUGGCUGAUUAGCUAGUUGGUGGGGUAAAGGCCUACCAAGGCGACGAUCAGUAGCUGGUCUGAGAGGACGACCAGCCACACUGGGACUGAGACACGGCCCAGACUCCUACGGGAGGCAGCAGUGGGGAAUUUUGGACAAUGGGCGAAAGCCUGAUCCAGCAAUGCCGCGUGUGUGAAGAAGGCCUUCGGGUUGUAGCACUUUUGUCCGGAAAGAAAUCCUUGACUCUAAUACAGUCGGGGGAUGACGGUACCGGAAGAAUAAGCACCGGCUAACUACGU
RNAcentral lists this ribosomal RNA (483 nucleotides) under uncultured bacterium. RNAcentral describes it as "partial 16S ribosomal RNA". It matches the Rfam family "Bacterial small subunit ribosomal RNA", at positions 30 to 506 of the family's 1533-position model. The record is from RNAcentral.